AACGCACAUUGCGCCCGCCAGCAUUCUGGCGGGCAUGCCUGUUCGAGCGUCAUUUCAACCCUCAGGCCCCGCCUGGUGUUGGAGGACUGCGCACCGCAGCCUCCCAAAGCGAGCGGCGGCGGCGCCCCACAACCGAACGCAGUAGUUACUUCUCGUUCUGGGUCUGGGUCGUCGUCCUGCCGGAAAACCCCCUCCUUUCUAAUGGUUGACCUCGAAUCAGGUAGGAAUACCCGCUGAACUUAA
Molecule: unclassified non-coding RNA, 243 nt
Filed under: uncultured fungus
Lineage: Eukaryota; Fungi
Description: sequence contains ITS2
Source: RNAcentral